RNAcentral lists this ribosomal RNA (524 nucleotides) under Curvularia aeria. RNAcentral describes it as "eukaryotic LSU rRNA". The stretch from base 143 to 296 matches the Rfam family "5.8S ribosomal RNA". The record is from RNAcentral. Lineage: Eukaryota; Fungi; Ascomycota; Dothideomycetes; Pleosporales; Pleosporaceae.
CUUCGGCUGGAUUAUUUUUAUCACCCUUGUCUUUUGCGCACUUGUUGUUUCCUGGGCGGGUUCGCCCGCCACCAGGACCACACCAUAAACCUUUUUUAUGCAGUUGCAAUCAGCGUCAGUAUAACAAAUGUAAAUCAUUUACAACUUUCAACAACGGAUCUCUUGGUUCUGGCAUCGAUGAAGAACGCAGCGAAAUGCGAUACGUAGUGUGAAUUGCAGAAUUCAGUGAAUCAUCGAAUCUUUGAACGCACAUUGCGCCCUUUGGUAUUCCAAAGGGCAUGCCUGUUCGAGCGUCAUUUGUACCCUCAAGCUUUGCUUGGUGUUGGGCGUCUUUUGUCUUUGGCCUCGCCCAAAGACUCGCCUUAAAACGAUUGGCAGCCGGCCUACUGGUUUCGCAGCGCAGCACAUUUUUGCGCUUGCAAUCAGCAAAAAGGACGGCAAUCCAUCAAGACUACAUUUUUACGUUUGACCUCGGAUCAGGUAGGGAUACCCGCUGAACUUAAGCAUAUCAAUAAGCGGAGGAA